AUUGAACGCUGGCGGCAGGCCUAACACAUGCAAGUCGAGCGGAUGAAGGGAGCUUGCUCCUGGAUUCAGCGGCGGACGGGUGAGUAAUGCCUAGGAAUCUGCCUGGUAGUGGGGGAUAACGUCCGGAAACGGGCGCUAAUACCGCAUACGUCCUGCGGGAGAAAGUGGGGGAUCUUCGGACCUCACGCUAUCAGAUGAGCCUAGGUCGGAUUAGCUAGUUGGUGGGGUAAAGGCCUACCAAGGCGACGAUCCGUAACUGGUCUGAGAGGAUGAUCAGUCACACUGGAACUGAGACACGGUCCAGACGCCUACGGGAGGCAGCAGUGGGGAAUAUUGGACAAUGGGCGAAAGCCUGGUCCAGCCAUGCCGCGUGUGUGAAGAAGGUCUUCGGAUUGUAAAGCACUUUAAGUUGGGAGGAAGGGCAGUAAGUUAAUACCUUGCUGUUUUGACGUUACCGACAGAAUAAGCACCGGCUAACUACGUG
RNAcentral lists this ribosomal RNA (484 nucleotides) under uncultured bacterium. RNAcentral describes it as "partial 16S ribosomal RNA". It matches the Rfam family "Bacterial small subunit ribosomal RNA", at positions 30 to 507 of the family's 1533-position model. The record is from RNAcentral.